Molecule: ribosomal RNA, 368 nt
Filed under: uncultured bacterium
Lineage: Bacteria
Description: bacterial SSU rRNA
Rfam family: Bacterial small subunit ribosomal RNA
Source: RNAcentral
UGGCGGCAUGNUUAACACAUGCAAGUCGAACGAGACCUUCGGGUCUAGUGGCGCACGGGUGCGUAACGCGUGGGAAUCUGCCCUUUGCUACGGAAUAACUCAGAGAAAUUUGUGCUAAUACCGUAUAAUGUCGUAAGACCAAAGAUUUAUCGGCAAAGGAUGAGCCCGCGUAAGAUUAGCUUGUUGGUGAGGUAAAGGCUCACCAAGGCGACGAUCUUUAGCUGGUCUGAGAGGAUGAUCAGCCACACUGGGACUGAGACACGGCCCAGACUCCUACGGGAGGCAGCAGUGGGGAAUAUUGGACAAUGGGCGAAAGCCUGAUCCAGCAACGCCGCGUGAGUGAUGAAGGCCUUAGGGUUGUAAAGCUC